GACGAACGCUGGCGGCGGGCUUAACACAUGCAAGUCGAACGGAAAGGCCCUGCUUUUGUGGGGUGCUCGAGUGGCGAACGGGUGAGUAACACGUGAGUAACCUGCCCUUGACUUUGGGAUAACUUCAGGAAACUGGGGCUAAUACCGGAUAGGAGCUGCUGCUGCAGGGUGGGGGUUGGAAAGUUUCGGCGGUUGGGGAUGGACUCGCGGCUUAUGAGCUUGUUGGUGGGGUAGUGGCUUACCAAGGCAGUGACGGGUAGCCGGCCUGAGAGGGUGACCGGCCACAUUGGGACUGAGGUACGGCCCAGACGCCUACGGGAGGCAGCAGUGGGGAAUCUUGCACAAUGGGCGGGAGCCUGAUGCAGCAACGCCGCGUGCGGGAUGACGGCCUUCGGGUUGUAAACCGCUUUCGCCUGUGACGAAGCGGGAGUGACGGUAAUGGGUAAAGAAGCACCGGCUAACUACGUG
RNAcentral lists this ribosomal RNA (468 nucleotides) under uncultured bacterium. Its description in RNAcentral is "partial 16S ribosomal RNA". It matches the Rfam family "Bacterial small subunit ribosomal RNA", at positions 28 to 507 of the family's 1533-position model. The record is from RNAcentral.